RNAcentral lists this transfer RNA (73 nucleotides) under Fictibacillus enclensis. RNAcentral's name for it is "Bacillus sp. NIOC03 tRNA". It matches the Rfam family "tRNA". Rfam says of the family: Transfer RNA (tRNA) molecules are approximately 80 nucleotides in length. The record is from Rfam by way of RNAcentral. Lineage: Bacteria; Bacillati; Bacillota; Bacilli; Caryophanales; Fictibacillaceae. RNAcentral also lists the same sequence under 2 other names.
GAUCCGAUAGCUCAGCUGGGAGAGCGCUACCUUGACAGGGUAGAGGUCGGGGGUUCGAACCCCUCUCGGGUCA